GAGAUGCGCAUUUAUUUUCAUUCUAACGUAAUCGCCAAAAUUGCUAAUGAAAAUACCUAAAUCAAACGAUUAGUGUUAAAUAUAAAAAUGUUUAAACACCAUUUUUUAAUAGCUUAAGCUUUUAGAGUACAACGGUUGUUUCACAUGGUAUCAAAGCAGGAGGUGCUGAGUUCGAGUCACGCCAGGCUCCUAGUAUAUUAAUUUUUUCCUAUUUAAUUUAAACCCACGUCAUGGGCCGAUUAAAAAGUUUCGAGCCCAGACGUGAGGGGGAGUGUUAAAUAUAAAAAUGUUUAAACACCGUUCUCUAACAGCUUAAAUUUUUAGAGUACAACGAUUGUUUCACAAUUAGUAAACAGAGAAAGAAAAGGUUUCAGAGAGUCGAAAAGGAAAAGGAAUUAAAAUUUAGGGGUGUGUAAUAUGAAUAAAAAAGUUGGAAUUUCAAA
This 443-nucleotide long non-coding RNA is filed under the name Ananas comosus (pineapple). RNAcentral's name for it is "long non-coding RNA (ACOM_LNC006641)". Lineage: Eukaryota; Viridiplantae; Streptophyta; Magnoliopsida; Poales; Bromeliaceae. The record is from RNAcentral.